Long non-coding RNA from Cyprinus carpio (common carp), 392 nucleotides. RefSeq lists it as uncharacterized. Lineage: Eukaryota; Metazoa; Chordata; Actinopteri; Cypriniformes; Cyprinidae. The record is from RefSeq and is a predicted model, not a curated record.
GUCACGGGUCUAUAUUAAAGCAACAAUUGAUCGAAAAUUAAAUUUGUGUCCUAAUUUACAAAACUUUUAUUUCCUUUCCUUCAUAGAACACAAAAGGAGAUAUUCAUAGCAGAUUUUCAAAGCUGUUCUUGACCACAAGAACUUGACAGGUCCUGUUCUCCGUCCAUGUUUUCUGUAUUAAAGAGAGCAGCGUAAACAUUCCACCAAACAUCUCCUUUUGUGUUCCACAGAAAAAGGAAAGUUUCAGAAUGACACAAGGGUCCUCGCCAAGCAGGAAAUCCCCCACCUCCUCUGUGCUUUGGUGGAAACCGAAGAUAUGCCGCACCACAAGCUUGUUCUUCUGCUUUGUCAAGAUGAGCACAGUCUUUUGGAAGCUGACACCUGCAAAAUCU